GAGAGAGAGACAUGCGCGCAUAUCAAUAAGCGGAGGAAAAGAAACUAACAAGGAUUCCCUUAGUAACGGCGAGUGAAGCGGGAAGAGCUCAAAUUUGAAAUCUUCAAGGUUUUACCUUGACGAAUUGUAGUUUAAAGAAGUGUUUUCUGCUGAAGUUUUGGUAAAAGUUCUUUGGAAUAGGACAUCAUAGAGGGUGAGAAUCCCGUAUUUGACCAUUAUUUUCAGCUUUGUGAUACACUUUCAAAGAGUCGGAUUGUUUGGGAAUGCAGUCCAAAAUGGGUGGUAAAUUUCAUCUAGAGCUAAAUAUUGGCGAGAGACCGAUAGCGAACAAGUACCGUGAGGGAAAGAUGAAAAGAACUUUGAAAAGAGAGUUAAACAGUACGUGAAAUUGUCAAAAGAGAAGCGUUUGACACCAGUGUUGUUUUCUCGAAAAUCAAUUAAAAAUGGCUCGAUUUUGUAUUGCUUGAGACCUUAAAAGCUCACUGUACAUUUUUCGUGUCUUUUUUAAUGCACUUUUCGUUUAACAAGUCAACAUCAGUUUCUUUUGUUGUAAAAGGGUCAUUGGAAGGUGGCUUUCUUUUCGGAGAAAGUGUUUAUAGCCUUUGGCCUCUGCAAUCGGAGAGACUGAGGUCUGCAGCGUAGACUCUUCGGGGUUAGAUACAUUUGUGCUAAGUUAUAGCUUUUUAUAGACAACUUGUUGACUAUAAUUAGUCUUGUAGCUUACUCGCUUAUGCUAUUUUACCUACGCUUAGGAUGUUGAAGAUGUAGCACAUCAU
RNAcentral lists this ribosomal RNA (776 nucleotides) under uncultured Neocallimastigales. Its description in RNAcentral is "partial large subunit ribosomal RNA". It matches the Rfam family "Eukaryotic large subunit ribosomal RNA", at positions 23 to 620 of the family's 3401-position model. Lineage: Eukaryota; Fungi; Neocallimastigomycota; Neocallimastigomycetes; Neocallimastigales. The record is from RNAcentral.